GAUGAACGCUGGCGGCGUGCCUAAUACAUGCAAGUCGAGCGAACGGACGAGAAGCUUGCUUCUCUGAUGUUAGCGGCGGACGGUGAGUAACACGUGGAUAACCUACCUAUAAGACUGGGAUAACUUCGGGAAACCGGAGCUAAUACCGGAUAAUAUUUUGAACCGCAUGGUUCAAAAGUUAAAGACGGUCUUGCUGUCACUUAUAGCUGGAUCCGCGCUGCAUUAGUUAGUUGGUAAGGUAACGGCUUACCAAGGCAACGAUGCAUAGCCGACCUGAGAGGGUGAUCGGCCACACUGGAACUGAGACACGGUCCAGACUCCUACGGGAGGCAGCAGUAGGGAAUCUACCGCAAUGGGCGAAAGCCUGACGGAGCAACGCCGCGUGAGUGAUGAAGGUCUUCGGAUCGUAAAAUUCUGUUAUUAGGGAAGAACAUAUGUGUAAGUAACUGUGCACAUCUUGACGGUACCUAAUCAGAAAGCCACGGCUAACUACGUG
Molecule: ribosomal RNA, 496 nt
Filed under: uncultured bacterium
Lineage: Bacteria
Description: partial 16S ribosomal RNA
Rfam family: Bacterial small subunit ribosomal RNA
Source: RNAcentral